AAGCAGAAAUACUAGAGGAAAUAUCUUGACUUAUAUUAAAGGGCCUUUGAAAAUGUUAUUAAUAAACUGGUAUUAGAUUUGGCUGUCUAAGAAUAACCUACAAAAAACAUACAUUAGCGUUUGGGAAAUGUUCUGUGUUUGUUAUGAUGGUUGAAGGUGCCAUUUCUUGGCUCCUCAUACUAAACUAAAUAUCAUAACCAGGGAGCUAUUCUGAUAUCAGACUCAUUGCCAACUGUUGCUCCCGGAUGUGUCACAGCAGAAACCAGAUCUGCAGGUCUGAAGGGCAAGUCUGCAGAUCUGCAUUGCCGAAGGAAGCUUCAUCAGAUCCGCGGAAGAACUCAGAUGUAUCUGGUUUAAUCAGUGCGCCGGGAGAGGAGAUGCCAGCUCGUAUAGCAGCUCUACGGGCCUCAGGGGCUGGAAAGUGCUGAUGAACACUGUUGUCCGGAGAGGUGCUGGCCUGACGGGAUGAAGGGACGGAGGAAUAAAGCGAGAGCAGUGUGGUGUUCUCAUCUCUUCAGAUCUCAGCACAAAGGCAGUAUGACAGAGAUGAAUCCCUCCCUCUCCCGGACCCUCGCCCCCCCGAACUCCAGGCCCGCUGCUGGGGACGCCUUUGUUCACUUCCCUCCAUUAUGUGA
Carassius carassius (crucian carp) is the source of this 635-nucleotide long non-coding RNA. RefSeq lists it as uncharacterized. The transcript has 3 exons. The record is from RefSeq and is a predicted model, not a curated record. NCBI's taxonomy places the organism in Eukaryota, Metazoa, Chordata, Actinopteri, Cypriniformes, Cyprinidae.